Molecule: ribosomal RNA, 254 nt
Filed under: uncultured bacterium
Lineage: Bacteria
Description: partial 16S ribosomal RNA
Rfam family: Bacterial small subunit ribosomal RNA
Source: RNAcentral
UACGAUUGGUGCAAGUGUUAUUCCACGUGAUUGGGCGUAAAGGGUAUGUAGAUAGUUUUUUACUUUUGACGAAAAAUUCUCCAUAAUAUGAUAAUGGUAUUUAUUUAAUACUAUGAAACUUGAGUAUGAAGAUGAAACUGGAACGUAUAAAUGAGAGUUGAAAUGCGUUGGUAAAUUAAACGGAACACUUACUGCGGAGGCAUUUUUCUAGAUCAUACUGACAUUGAGGUACUAAAGUAUGGGGAUCAAAUGGG